GUAAAAAAUCUUACCUAAUUUACCCUGUUGUUUUUUAAUGCAGUGUCAUCACUGGAUUGUUUAUAGCCGCUGGACAGCAGGGAGAAAAUGGGGGGAGAAUCAUCAGUGAAGUAAAAGAUCUGUGCUGGGUGGAUGAUGAAUAUAGCAAGCAGACAGCAAAAGCAUUGCAACAUCCAGAAUUGUUCAGGCAGGAUGUCCAGUUUUAUUCUAUCAAAUGCCACCGAAACAAAGGGAACAAUCCAUUUUUCCUGAUAGAAGCCAACAGAUCGUAAGAGGUUUGAGAUGAGUGUGAGGAUACAAUUUGCCUAGAGAGUGCCUGAGGAUCAAGACAAGCUGACUUUCCACGGAAUGAGUCUGUCAGCUGGCAUCUUGCGGUAAUUGCUUCCCAUGGCAGGGCCUCACCAGCUGAGGGAGGGCUGAUCGCGUCAACUCAAGAAUCCAUUUUAUUAUUACUAUUUUUUUUAACAGCCACUGAACGAUAAUUGUUUGCUAAGGCUG
Molecule: long non-coding RNA, 498 nt
Filed under: Pogona vitticeps (central bearded dragon)
Lineage: Eukaryota; Metazoa; Chordata; Lepidosauria; Squamata; Agamidae
Description: lncRNA (ENSPVIG00000010803.1)
Source: RNAcentral